GUUAGGGAAGAACAAGUACCGUUCGAAUAGGGCGGUACCUUGACGGUACCUAACCAGAAAGCCACGGCUAACUACGUGCCAGCAGCCGCGGUAAUACGUAGGUGGCAAGCGUUGUCCGGAAUUAUUGGGCGUAAAGGGCUCGCAGGCGGUUUCUUAAGUCUGAUGUGAAAGCCCCCGGCUCAACCGGGGAGGGUCAUUGGAAACUGGGGAACUUGAGUGCAGAAGAGGAGAGUGGAAUUCCACGUGUAGCGGUGAAAUGCGUAGAGAUGUGGAGGAACACCAGUGGCGAAGGCGACUCUCUGGUCUGUAACUGACGCUGAGGAGCGAAAGCGUGGGGAGCGAACAGGAUUAGAUACCCUGGUAGUCCACGCCGUAAACGAUGAGUGCUAAGUGUUAGGGGGUUUCCGCCCCUUAGUGCUGCAGCUAACGCAUUAAGCACUCCGCCUGGGGAGUACGGUCGCAAGACUGAAACUCAAAGGAAUUGACGGGGGCCCGCACAAGCGGUGGAGCAUGUGGUUUAAUUCGAAGCAACGCGAAGAACCUUACCAGGUCUUGACAUCCUCUGACAAUCCUAGAGAUAGGACGUCCCCUUCGGGGGCAGAGUGACAGGUGGUGCAUGGUUGUCGUCAGCUCGUGUCGUGAGAUGUUGGGUUAAGUCCCGCAACGAGCGCAACCCUUGAUCUUAGUUGCCAGCAUUCAGUUGGGCACUCUAAGGUGACUGCCGGUGACAAACCGGAGGAAGGUGGGGAUGACGUCAAAUCAUCAUGCCCCUUAUGACCUGGGCUACACACGUGCUACAAUGGACAGAACAAAGGGCAGCGAAACCGCGAGGUUAAGCCAAUCCCACAAAUCUGUUCUCAGUUCGGAUCGCAGUCUGCAACUCGACUGCGUGAAGCUGGA
RNAcentral lists this ribosomal RNA (900 nucleotides) under Bacillus subtilis. RNAcentral's name for it is "bacterial SSU rRNA". It matches the Rfam family "Bacterial small subunit ribosomal RNA", at positions 438 to 1330 of the family's 1533-position model. Lineage: Bacteria; Bacillati; Bacillota; Bacilli; Caryophanales; Bacillaceae. The record is from RNAcentral.